UCUUAAUGACUCUAAUAUUAAGUAAGAUCUGCUCAAUGAUUUUUAAAUUGCCGCAGUAUUCCUGUGCUAAGGUAGCAUAAUCAUUUGCCUUUUAAUUGAAGGCUAGAAUGAAAGAUUCAACAAUUAAAUUUCUAUCUUAAAACUUAAAGUAAAAUUUAUAUUAGAUAUAAAAAUAUAUCUAUUAUAUAAAAAGACGACAAGACCCUGUUGAACUUCACUUUUGUUUAGCUGGGGCAGCUAAGUAAAGACCAUUUUAUUUUAAUAUCAAAAAUGACCCAAUAUAAUUGACUACUUGACCAAGUUACCACAGGGAUAACAGCAUAAUUUUCUUUUUUAGCUCUAUUAAAAAGAAAGAUUAUGACCUCGAUGUUGAAUUAUUUACCUUACUUAUGUAAAUGUAAGUAGAGGGGGUCUGUUCGACCCUUAAAUUUUUACA
RNAcentral lists this ribosomal RNA (436 nucleotides) under Gelanor sp. GH864. RNAcentral describes it as "partial 16S ribosomal RNA". It matches the Rfam family "Bacterial large subunit ribosomal RNA", at positions 1831 to 2600 of the family's 2925-position model. The record is from RNAcentral. Lineage: Eukaryota; Metazoa; Arthropoda; Arachnida; Araneae; Mimetidae. RNAcentral also lists the same sequence under 1 other name.